Molecule: long non-coding RNA, 1095 nt
Filed under: Lonchura striata (white-rumped munia)
Lineage: Eukaryota; Metazoa; Chordata; Aves; Passeriformes; Estrildidae
Description: domestica (Bengalese finch) lncRNA (ENSLSDG00000011346.1)
Source: RNAcentral
NNNNNNNNNNNNNNNNNNNNNNNNNNNNNNNNNNNNNNNNNNNNNNNNNGGAUGGGACACCAGGAAUGGGACACCAGGGAUGGGACAGGGAUGGGACACCAGGGAUGGGACACCAGGGAUGGGACACCAGGGAUGGGACACCAGGGAUGGGACACCAGGGAUGGGACAGGGAUGGGACACCAGGGAUGGGACACCAGGAUUCCCUGGAUUCUGUGUCCAUCCCCGUGUCCAUCCCCUGUCCAUCCCCUGUCCAUCCCCGUGUCCAUCCCGUGUCCAUCCCCGUGUCCAUCCCGUGUCCAUCCCCGUGUCCAUCCCCGUGUCCAUCCCCGUGUCCAUCCCGUGUCCAUCCCAUGUCCAUCCCCGUGUCCGUCCCCGUGUCCAUCCCGUGUCCAUCCCGUGUCCAUCCCCGUGUCCAUCCCGUGUCCAUCCCCUGUCCAUCCCCGUGUCCAUCCCGUGUCCAUCUCUGUGUCCAUCCCCGUGUCCAUCCUGUGUCCAUCCCGUGUCCAUCCCGUGUCCAUCCCCGUGUCCAUCCCCUGUCCAUCCCCUGUCCAUCUCCGUGUCCAUCCCCGUGUCCAUCCCCUGUCCAUCCCCGUGUCCAUCCCGUGUCCAUCCCCGUGUCCAUCCCGUGUCCAUCCCGUGUCCAUCCCGUGUCCAUCCCGUGUCCCCACGUCCGUCCCCGUGUCCAUCCCGUGUCCCCACGUCCGUCCCCACCCCGCAGUGCCCGGGAAGUGCCUGAGUCAGCCCAGCCCCCGCUGCCGGCAGAAUUUGGGGCUGGGGGAUCCCAAAUUCCUCCCCCCAGGGAAUUUUUCUUCCUGCCCCCACCAGGGAAUUUUUGGUUUUUUCCUUCCCCCAGCUCCGCCCAGCGCGGCCCCAAAAACGCCUCCAAAUUCCUUUGGGAAAAAAAAAAAUAAAUAAAAAGGAUUUUUUUUUGGGGUCUCCCCUAAAGGAGCAGGAGGCCUUUGGGAAGGGGGGAGCAGCCUGGUCCCCCCCCAGCCCCGUUCCCAAAAAUUUAAAAAAUAUAUAUAUAUAAAUAUAUAUCUAGAGAUGCUCUAUGGCUGGAGAGGCGGGUCCCGACCCUCGGGGGGAAAAGGCACC